Molecule: ribosomal RNA, 253 nt
Filed under: uncultured bacterium
Lineage: Bacteria
Description: partial 16S ribosomal RNA
Rfam family: Bacterial small subunit ribosomal RNA
Source: RNAcentral
UACGUAGGGGGCGAGCGUUGUCCGGAAUCAUUGGGCGUAAAGCGCGUGUAGGCGGUCCGGUAAGUCCGCUGUGAAAGUCGGGGGCUCAACCCUCGGAUGCCGGUGGAUACUGUCGGGCUUGAGUGCGGAAGAGGCGAGUGGAAUUCCUGGUGUAGCGGUGAAAUGCGCAGAUAUCAGGAGGAACACCAAUUGCGAAGGCAGCUCGCUGGGACGUUACUGACGCUGAGGAGCGAAAGCGUGGGGAGCGAACAGG